AUCUCAGGUCUCCAUUUUUUUGACUUUUUAAAAUACCUUAUGUUUCUCAUUGACUCUGGACUUUGGUGAGCGCGCGCAUGUGGAUCGUUUGAUGUGUCAGGUCAAUUAAUGAAAUUGAUCCAACGCGUGUGGUUUUUUUUCUCAUUUUCUGAAUUUCCUUUUAUUUUUGUUUAUUCCAUUUUAUUUCAAAAAAUCAUAACUCUUUCAUUUUAAUUCCAAAAAAUAUG
RNAcentral lists this long non-coding RNA (227 nucleotides) under Lathyrus oleraceus (garden pea). RNAcentral describes it as "Pisum sativum (pea) long non-coding RNA (PSAT_LNC033006)". The record is from RNAcentral. Lineage: Eukaryota; Viridiplantae; Streptophyta; Magnoliopsida; Fabales; Fabaceae.